AAGUCGUAACAAGGUUUCCGUAGGUGAACCUGCGGAAGGAUCAUUAACACGUAUCCACGUUUUUAAACUUUAUCAACAACACUACGAACUGAACUCCCUGCUGUAUGCAAUCUGCGAGGUCGUUAUCUGUUCAUGAUGGGUUGGAAGCUAACAAGUAGUUGUCCGAGACUUGUGUUAGUGGAAGACUGGCAGGUAAAGGCUAUCUCAUCUCCCGAGUGAGGACUCGCAACCGCAUGCAGUAGGCUUACUGACUCUAACCUCGCGUGGAGCAAUCCAAUCCUUACCAUCCUAAGGCCGAGAGUAGAACCCCAUAACCUAUUUCACCCUAUUUUACCCAUUUGACUAAUACAAAAAACAUUCGAUUGGAGAAAUCCUUUUUGAAUGACUAAGAUUUAUCUUAACUAAGCACAACUCUUAGCAAUGGAUAUCUUGGUUCUC
This 438-nucleotide unclassified non-coding RNA is filed under the name fungal sp. Its description in RNAcentral is "partial internal transcribed spacer region". The stretch from base 1 to 46 matches the Rfam family "Eukaryotic small subunit ribosomal RNA", at positions 1786 to 1831 of the family's 1831-position model. The record is from RNAcentral. Lineage: Eukaryota; Fungi.